This 440-nucleotide ribosomal RNA is filed under the name uncultured bacterium. RNAcentral describes it as "partial 16S ribosomal RNA". It matches the Rfam family "Bacterial small subunit ribosomal RNA", at positions 338 to 795 of the family's 1533-position model. The record is from RNAcentral.
CCUACGGGAGGCAGCAGUGGGGAAUAUUGCACAAUGGGGGAAACCCUGAUGCAGCGACGCCGCGUGAGUGAAGAAGUAAUUCGUUAUGUAAAGCUCUAUCAGCAGGGAAGAAAAUGACGGUACCUGAGUAAGAAGCCCCGGCUAACUACGUGCCAGCAGCCGCGGUAAUACGUAGGGGGCAAGCGUUAUCCGGAUUUACUGGGUGUAAAGGGAGCGUAGACGGCAGUGCAAGUCUGGAGUGAAAGGCGGGGGCUCAACCCCCGGACUGCUCUGGAAACUGUACGGCUGGAGUGCAGGAGAGGUAAGUGGAAUUCCUAGUGUAGCGGUGGAAUGCGUAGAUAUUAGGAGGAACACCAGUGGCGAAGGCGGCUUACUGGACUGUAACUGACGUUGAGGCUCGAAAGCGUGGGGAGCAAACAGGAUUAGAUACCCGGGUAGUC